This 1782-nucleotide long non-coding RNA is filed under the name Bemisia tabaci. RNAcentral describes it as "lncRNA ENSSSA3NGG012640". The record is from RNAcentral. Lineage: Eukaryota; Metazoa; Arthropoda; Insecta; Hemiptera; Aleyrodidae.
AUGUCCGUUGCUGAUGAUAAACAGGAGGCAUCCAAAUCCUCGGAAGAAAAGCUAGGAGUAAAUUCUAUGCCUACAGCCAACAAGAGUCUCCCUGGACCUGUCAAACCGAAGACCACCAAAGUCAUGCCGAGUCUUAGGGAAAUCCGAAAGAUUCCCCAGAAACCAGAAACAGGAACAGGCGGCAUGUCCAUGUCAAUAGUGAAAAGACCACGUUUGUCCGUAUCUGAUAGUGAUUCUGGAGGGCCAGCUUCUUCCUCCGGCAGCGCAGAGAAGGUCUCAAAGCCACGUUUUUCUAUCGAAAAUGACCCGCUUCUUAACAUUACAUCUGAAUGUCGCGUAGAACUUGAAAUAACCAAAAUUCCUGCAAAUUGCCAACUGAAAACUGAGCCGGGCGGUAAGCCAGUGUUUGUACUCAACAGAAACUCUGCCGGUCCAUCUACUCAAGAUGUCAACAAGAAGCCCAAGACUCUGUUGAGGAACUUCAUGGCCCCAAAUCAGCCUAAUCAGGCCCCUCUAAUGAAGCGCAUGGGCAGGCCACCAAAAGACCCUAACCGAAUGAUCCAAGUGAGUCCUAUGGAUGCGUCAAUGCUGAACAGACCCAGACCCACUGUUUCCAAGAGAGGCAGGAAACGUGCAAUGACCAUUGAUAUGGCACGGCAGCCUGGGCCUCAUUCUCCAGCAAUGAAAAUGGUUAGAACAGAUCCACACCUUAAACAUCGGAUGAAUAUGGCGCAAAUGCAGAGGAUGUACCGUAAAUCAGGACCUUCCGGACCUUCGCCCAAAACAACGUCUGCGUUGGAAAUGCUCUUGAUGAAUAGAGGAGUCACACACAACCCACCAAUCAGUGAUGCCUCCGUUGCAAAUUUCUGUCAGGUUGAAGAACUGGUGACUGAGCCAGACAUGUAUUCAACACCUAUCAAUCAGCUUAAAAACCUGUCAAAAGGUCCAGCAAACUCCAUUCUGAAGCAAAUAGCCUACGGGAGCCAGCAGUUCGGUGCAAUAACAAUAUCGCCAGUCAAUCCAUCUCCUAUGCGAAUGCCUCCAACUUCCACUGCUCAAGCCACUUCCUUCAGGCCAGGCCCCAGGCCAGGUCCAAGACCAGGGCAUGUCUCCCGUUCCUCCAGUAUCGAUGACAUAAUAGACAGCGUUGCUGCAGGUGAGGGCGAAAUAAGCCCCAAGUGCCUGCUUGAGCUCAAUAGUGCUGGUGAACCGAAAAAGAAACGUGGGAGGCCACGAAAAAUCGUUCCCGGUCAACCCGCAUACUCUCAGUUCCAGUCGGAGUCUCUUCAAUGUGCACCAGACCUAUUUUUCAUGCAGCAAGGGCACCAGCCUACUGUGCGACCUACUCCACCCAAAGUAUCCACGCCUGAUGGAGUCUCGACGCCUUCACCCCUCAAGUCUGCGCCUGCCCCAUCUGCGCCUGUCACGCCUGAGUCAUUUGCUGAGUCCUUUGAUGAACCCUCAGAAAUUCUGUCUUCAGAAGUUGAGGAGGGUGGAGAGCCAAAGAAGUUGGCAAGUGGUAGAGCUGCUCGUAUGUGUACCAUCAAGGAACCAAAGAAAAAGAAAGAUGGUGCCACCCCAAAAACUGGGGAAAAAUCACCCAAGAAGAAAAAGAAAGAUGAAGAGCCAGUGGAGCCAGAUCCUGAAGAUGAAGCACGCAAGCUGCGAGAGGCCGAAGAAGAAGCAAAACGAAAGGCUGAAUUGAAGGAGAAGCGCCUUCAAGAGAGACAGAAGCGAACAGAACUGCGUACAAAACUCCUUGCUGAGAAAAAAGCUAACUGA